GACGAACGCUGGCGGCGUGCUUAACACAUGCAAGUCGAGCGGAAAGGCCCUUCGGGGUACUCUAGCGGCGAACGGGGGAGUAACACGUGAGUAAACUGCCCCAGACGUUGGGAUAACCCUCGGAAACGGGGGCUAAUACCGGAUACGACACAGCUUCGCAUGGGGGCUGUGUGGAAAGGUUGUCGGCGUGGGAUGGGCUCGCGGCCUAUCAGCUUGUUGGUGGGGUGAUGGCCGACCAAGGCGACGACGGGUAGCAGGCCGGCGAGGGGGACCGGCCACACUGGGAGUGAGGCAAGGCGGAGAAUACUACGGGGGGAAGCAGUGGGGAAUAUUGCACAAUGAGGGGAGGACGGAUGCAGGGGCGCUGCGUGGGGGAGGAAGGCGGUCGGGGUGUAAACAUCUUUCAGCAGGGAAGAAGAGUAAGUGACGGUACCUGCAGAAGAAGCGCCGGCUAACUCCGUG
Molecule: ribosomal RNA, 462 nt
Filed under: uncultured bacterium
Lineage: Bacteria
Description: partial 16S ribosomal RNA
Rfam family: Bacterial small subunit ribosomal RNA
Source: RNAcentral